Balaenoptera ricei (Rice's whale) is the source of this 442-nucleotide long non-coding RNA. RefSeq lists it as uncharacterized. Lineage: Eukaryota; Metazoa; Chordata; Mammalia; Artiodactyla; Balaenopteridae. The record is from RefSeq and is a predicted model, not a curated record. The transcript is spliced from 3 exons.
AAUCUGCCUCCUCUCUCAGGGCCAGCUGGAAACCCUCAGACUGAGCUCCAGGGAACACACAGGAGUCACAACUACAUACACCUUCUCGGUGGACAAGCCCACAGGCUGUGUGUAUAAUCAAAGGGGCCAGAGGACAAGGCCAAUCCAAGGAGGGAAGAGCCUAGGCCGGGCCUAAGGCCAGAAUGAUGCCAGCUCCCCAACACCCAGGAAGCCAAGCCAACAUCCAACCCCACACCCAGGAAGCCAGGGCUUUCGUAAAAGGUCUGGUGGGAAGGAAGCUUCAACUAAGUCAACUAAUGCAAACUUAACGGGAUGCCCACUAGGCACGAGGCCCUGUGCUGGGCAGGACAAUACUAAGGGGAGCUAUGGCCUGAGAAGACAGCAAGAAACAUCAGCAGGCCCGGAGGUCUGGCACCUUUCCCACUGCUGGAGCAGGCCGGCU